This is a non-coding RNA of Lepisosteus oculatus (spotted gar), 2405 nucleotides long. The record is from RefSeq and is a predicted model, not a curated record. Lineage: Eukaryota; Metazoa; Chordata; Actinopteri; Semionotiformes; Lepisosteidae.
UCCACCAGGCCAUGCAAAAAACCUGCACACAUCUCCGCAGCACCCAUCUCCACAAAGCCCGCACAACAGUCCCCUGUGGAAACAAAGGAAUCGUAGCUGCCAAGGACUUGAACAGCCCCUGGCAAAAACCAGCAAAGGGAAGGGAAUGAAGGGGAUGAAGGGAAUGAAGGAUGACGUCAUCUGGCCAGGCUCUGUGGAAACCUCAAACCACCCAGGUGGUGUCCUCUGGAUCAACAGUAAUUGAGAAUGGGUGAUUGUAGCCACCACUGAUCAUGCUGCAGGUGUCCUUGCAAACAGGAAUCAUUCUAGAUUGAUGUGAUCCUGGGUGCAUCCCAGCCAGCACUCUUCCUACCGUGGCCAAAGAGAUGACACUGAGACACACUCCUGUGAUGACCAGAUGACUGACCUUGUAGAAAACAACGUUUGCUCCAUUUGCCAGAAGCUGCUGUGUUCUACUUAGAGGCAGAGUGCUUAAACAAAGGAGGAAAACAGCUUUUGCCAUUGCAUAAAAGACUUACAAUCAGAGUCAGACGAACUUUCCCGAACCUAGCUUUCAACCUGUCACACAAAUUACUGCCUGCUUAGUGCUGCCAAGGGAAAAGCUCUCUGUUUCCAUCGACAGUGACUGAUUAAACAUCACCAUAACCUUAAAGAACUAGGUCUCCCAGGAAGGCUUGUGAGGGAGUUGAAGUGUCAUCAGUCGGUCACUGAUGCCGUUUGGAAGAUUAGCGAGUUUUGGAACAAUGUGGGAUUUGACUGCAAAGCCAACACCUGCCUCCCGACGUUCCUCGCUACUGCAUCCAUUCCAGAAGAAGGAUGUAUCUACCGCUACGUUCUGAUAUUUGUCCCUCACCUGGUAGGCGUGUUUCACUUAGAGCUGCUAUGUCUACAUUGUAGCGGGCAAGUUCUCUAGAGACCAGUGCUGUUCUUCUUUCUGGUAUAUCAGCCACUGCAUUGUCACGGAGGGAUAGGACGUUCCAUGUACCGAGGGCAGAAGACAGCACAUCAAAACUACAGCCCAUCAGACUGACCACACACACAGGUACUAAGGACCAAGCCAACUGGAAGACCCCAGGGCCUUCUGGAGCAGCCCAGCUUACAGGUUCAGCACAAGACACAGGGCACGGGAGAGGGGGCACCCGCAGGACCCGAUGGUGAGGGAGCAAGAGCUGACGGGGGGGGGGGCACCGAUGACGUCAUCGCUCCCGAAUGCCAUCACUUGAUGAUGUCACCGCGAGCCCACCGGCACCUGGCAAGUCACAGGCUUUGGGAAACCAUCUUGCUAGGAAGCCCAGAAGAUCCCUGCCAAUCAAUGCCCACCUCUCCUUGGUAGUGCUCUGCCAUGCUCUGUGGGUCCUGAGUCUGAACCAGGGCUGUACUGGAGUGUGGUUCCAGCACCCAUAGUAUUGAGCCAUUUAUCACAUAGUACCAAUCCAUAAGAAAAAAAGUCAUGGACUUUUAAGGGUCUUUAACAUCUACUCGCUCAUUUGAAACAUGAGUAUCUUUGUCCCUGAAUUUUUAGCUCUCACAGAAUGAGGUGCAGCACCUGGAAGAGUUGAGACAGGUCUGAUUUGGAAUACACCCCAGUGUCCAGCUGAGUGUGUGUGUGUGUGCUUGUGUCACAGGGCAGGUGUGGGUGACUGCUAUGGUCUUGGAUGAGUGUUCUCUACAUGAAUGACAGCUUGAAGGGAGGGACAGGGCACCCAGUAGAGAAACACAACAGACGCUACAACCUGAAAUCAGAUAUCCAAAUUUCCACACAGUGUAAAAUCAACUGCCUUACUGUGUAGAAAAAAAAAACAACAGUAAAAUUUAAAAGCAGUCAAAAACAUAAGAGGCACAGUAUACAGUAAGAGGCACAUUGCAACCAGCUGGGCUUUGGGUAAAUAUACUGUAAAUAUUCUGGGAAGGUUCUGCCAGGAAAAGCUUAAAUUUAAGGCUGUCAGCUGACGAGUAAAUAUUUGUAUUAUGUUGCGCCGCUGUUGCACUUGUUUGCACAACAACGUUUUUGGCGCCGCCUUGUGGUUAACAAAUAAACCUUUUUCGCAAUGCAGACAACAAUUCCUACAGCGCCUCAGUCAGAAAGAUACACUCCUUUAGUCUACUUCCACCUAGUGGAGAGAAACUAGGUUUUAAAUUAAUUUAAAGGGAGGAAGAACCACUACUACUACGGGGCUUUUCAUUGAAAGGUCAACUUAUGACGGAAACGUCUCGUCAUUGCUUUCAAACGUUCAUCACCACGCGCCUCAGGUGUAGCUGAACGUCAGAAUAUCGCCGUUUUUCUUCAUGCAGAAACAUCCAUCUGAUCCAUUCCAACAUCAUGGGGGAGCCAGAGCCUAUCCCGGCAAGUAUAAAGUGAAAGGUGGGACCUGGACUGGACACUCCAUCACAGGGGCACACACACA